Molecule: long non-coding RNA, 924 nt
Filed under: Anas platyrhynchos platyrhynchos (common mallard)
Lineage: Eukaryota; Metazoa; Chordata; Aves; Anseriformes; Anatidae
Description: lncRNA (ENSAPLG00000030074.1)
Source: RNAcentral
GAGAAACUGCAGUGGAAACUGUGGGGUGGGUCAGCGAGGAAGGAAGGGGAGGAUGAUGGAGCUGGAGCAGAGGAGAAGUGUUGGGGGGGAAAUGAGCUGCAGGGAGAAAACACCAUGUCCUGAUCAUCCCAAAGCCCUGAGCUGCUCAACACUGUGUAGAGGGGUUGGGUAUGAAGAAGUGAAGCCAAGUUUUGGAGGGGAAAAGUAAAGUCAUUGUUUUAAUGUUUGUCUUUCUUUCCUGCUACCCUAGUCCAUUUUAACUGACAACAAAUUAAUUUUCCUCAAGGUGACUAUGUUUGGCCCACAGCAUUACUUGACAAGCAAACUCCCUGAUUUUACCUCAACCCACAACCUUGUCAACCUCUUUUCUCUUCCUGUCCCACUGAGGAGGGGAAGGGAGGGAGGGAGGGAGGGAGGAAGGGAGGGAGGGAGGGAGAAAAGGAGAGAGCAGCUGGGUGGGAGUUUGGCCCUUAGAAAAUGUUAACCCACCACAGUGCACAAGACCAGAUUUUUUACAGAGGACUCAGGACUUGUAACUACAUUGAAUUCCUCCAAAAUCCCACCAGUGGCUCUGAUUCUGUAACUAUCUGUAUGCAGGAAAGACAUAGGUCCACGCAGAGCCCUGUUGAUUUCAAUGUACCUGCCUAAGCAAAAGGAAUGACAAAUGAUGACUACUGUUCUGAGUCUGACACAAGGAAACAGAACAAGAUCUGUCCAAGGAAAGGAAAUUGCCAUAAGCUUUCUAAUAUAUACUGUUUUCCACAAACACUCCUGCCACCGUCAAUCUCCAGUGUUCUCUCCCUGCUCCCUCAAAGAUGUACUGCCUCAGACUCCUAUUGCCACAGCUCCCUGAAGAACCAUCCAUAGGGUCCUCCUAUGUGAAAACUAAAUAAAGGCUAGGAAAGAACAUGAAUAUUCUGAGUC